UUGGAGGGCAAGUCUGGUGCCAGCAGCCGCAGUAAUUCCAGCUCCAAUAGCGUAUAUUAAAGUUGUUGCAGUUAAAAAGCUCGUAGUUGAAUUUCGGGAUUGACACAUCGGUCGUGCCUUAAGGGGUAUGAACUGGUGUAGUCAAUUUCUCACCUUCUGGAGAACCGCGAUGCCCUUAAUUGGGUGCCGCGGGGAACCAGGACCUUUACUUUGAAAAAAUUAGAGUGUUUAAAGCAGGCAUUUUGCUUGAAUACAUUAGCAUGGAAUAAUAAAAUAGGACGGCGUGAUUCUAUUUUGUUGGUUUCUAGGAUCACCGUAAUGAUUAAUAGGGAUAGUUGGGGGCAUUAGUAUUCAAUUGUCAGAGGUGAAAUUCUUGGAUUUAUUGAAGACUAACUACUGCGAAAGCAUUUGCCAAGGAUGUUUUCAUUAAUCAAGAACGAAAGUUAGGGGAUCGAAGACGAUCAGAUACCGUCGUAGUCUUAACCAUAAACUAUGCCGACUAGGAAUCAGACGAUGUUAAUUUUUUAAUGACUCGUUUGGCACCUUACGGGAAACCAAAGUGUUUGGGUUC
RNAcentral lists this ribosomal RNA (571 nucleotides) under uncultured Glomeromycotina. RNAcentral's name for it is "SSU rRNA". It matches the Rfam family "Eukaryotic small subunit ribosomal RNA", at positions 548 to 1114 of the family's 1831-position model. The record is from RNAcentral. Lineage: Eukaryota; Fungi; Glomeromycota.